GACCGCGUAGCUCAGUUGGAAGAGCAUUGGGCUAGUAUUCCAAAGGUCGUAGGUUCGCAUCCCACCGUGGCCG
Molecule: transfer RNA, 73 nt
Filed under: Paramuricea clavata
Lineage: Eukaryota; Metazoa; Cnidaria; Anthozoa; Malacalcyonacea; Plexauridae
Rfam family: tRNA
About the family: Transfer RNA (tRNA) molecules are approximately 80 nucleotides in length. Their secondary structure includes four short double-helical elements and three loops (D, anti-codon, and T loops).
Source: Rfam by way of RNAcentral